CCUACGGGUGGCUGCAGUGGGGAAUAUUGGACAAUGGGCGAAAGCCUGAUCCAGCCAUGCCGCGUGUGUGAAGAAGGCCUUCGGGUUGUAAAGCACUUUCAGUGGGGAAGAAAGCCUUGGGGCUAAUACCCUCGAGGAAGGACAUCACCCACAGAAGAAGCACCGGCUAACUCCGUGCCAGCAGCCGCGGUACUACGGAGGGUGCGAGCGUUAAUCGGAAUUACUGGGCGUAAAGCGCGCGUAGGCGGUCUGAUAAGCCGGUUGUGAAAGCCCCGGGCUCAACCUGGGAACGGCAUCCGGAACUGUCAGGCUAGAGUGCAGGAGAGGAAGGUAGAAUUCCCGGUGUAGCGGUGACAUGCGUAGAGAUCGGGAGGAAUACCAGUGGCGAAGGCGGCCUUCUGGACUGACACUGACGCUGAGGUGCGAAAGCGUGGGUAGCAAACAGGAUUAGAUACCCGAGUAGUC
Molecule: ribosomal RNA, 465 nt
Filed under: Vreelandella stevensii
Lineage: Bacteria; Pseudomonadati; Pseudomonadota; Gammaproteobacteria; Oceanospirillales; Halomonadaceae
Description: partial 16S ribosomal RNA
Rfam family: Bacterial small subunit ribosomal RNA
Source: RNAcentral